Molecule: ribosomal RNA, 253 nt
Filed under: uncultured microorganism
Description: partial 16S ribosomal RNA
Rfam family: Bacterial small subunit ribosomal RNA
Source: RNAcentral
UACGGAGGGGGCAAGCGUUGUUCGGAGUUACUGGGCGUAAAGCGUGCGCAGGCGGCCCGUUAAGACAGGUGUGAAAUCCCUGGGCUCAACCUAGGAAUUGCGCUUGUGACUGGCGGGCUCGAGUACGGUAGAGGGGGGUGGAAUUCCUGGUGUAGCAGUGAAAUGCGUAGAGAUCAGGAGGAACACCGAUGGCGAAGGCAGCCCCCUGGACAAAGACUGACGCUCAGGCACGAAAGCGUGGGGAGCAAACAGG